UAUCUUCUUCUCUUUUCUUCAUUUUUUCCUUUCAGAUGCUUCUUUUUGGCCCUCUUCAUAUUUCUUAAAUUUUUAAUCCAACUGCUGGUGUGUUAAAUUUGAUGGUGAAACUCCAUUUAUAAGCCUCUAAUCUUGCUGAAUUUUGAUUAAUAACAGUGAGCAAACGAAAGAUCGCGCAUCUGAUAAAGAAAUAAUUCCUUCAUCUUCAUCGUUAAUUUUAUUGUUCUUUCUCUCCCCUUUUUUGCUCUUUCAACAAGUUACAGCCCACACACAAUUUUAUUUACUGAGAUUAAAGGCUUCUCGCUACACUGAUAUGGGUGUUAAGCCUAAUUAAGAAGACAAAUUUUGGGUAUAGCUUCACAGUUUGGCUCUAGAAGCAUCCUUCUUCAAUCUUUCUCAUCCCCAAAAUCAAACGCAAGACUACUCUUAUUCCAAUAUCAAUUUCAUAUUCUCUCACUUCUCUUCAUCACCGCAUCUGGCAUUGUCGUUUCAGUCUUCCAAAGACUACCCUUUCAGAGUUUCAGUUCGUUUCGUCUACUCGGCUUGGGGAUAUAAUUAAUUUCAAGAACUUUGAAGUAUAGUUAGAGGCAUCGUCAACCUAAAAAGUUGGUGCUCUUUUUUUCUAUUGACUAGUCCUUCCGGAACAGGCUUUCUUGGUUACUCAGAGAUCUGUUAGAGCGGACGGGUUUCUUUCAGUUUGUCUCUUCAGUGAGUGGCGACUGGCGACUGGGCUAUUCAAAGCUCAAAGUUGGUAUCUUUCGUUUAUGUAUUGUUGCUCGACUUUCCUCGGUUAACAUAUGAUGCUACCCUUAGCUAUUUAUGUUAUUGAAGUCGUAUGCUUAAGCUUUGGCUAAUUUAGGAGAUCUAAAUUAUCUCUAUUUUUUUAAUGAUUUCUUUGUACUAUGAUUUUAUUUUCUGUUCUUCAUUUUGGUCUUCUUAUUACCUUUUCUGUUGUUCUAUAUGGUUUCUGUAUUUUGGUCUUUUAAUUCUUUGGUCGUGAUUAUAUUUUGAUGUCGCAGUGAUAGUAAAUUCGUAAAUUCAUUGACUUUUAUGAUUUGUGUGUUGAGGAGGGAGCUCAAGCUGAAAGAUCUGGUCAACCCUUUCCUUCGAGCAGUUUGUUUGCGAAAUGAACGGUAUAAACUUUUCUUUUGUUCAAUCACGGUCACUAACUCUUUAAUAAAACAUUAGAAGUAAAAAUUGGGACUAAUUUGAUACUUGGUUUUUGGUUUUAUAGGUUCUUAUCUGUGUGAGUUUCUUUUUUUUUUUUUGGGUAACCGGUCUAUGUAUGUUCGGGUUUGUAAUUUUAUUGACCAACUUUAAGCCUUCGAUCUUUUUCUCUAUUUGAGGUAGCAUGCGUUUUUCUGGGAUUGCUUGUAGAGCAUAGUGAAAAUGCAACUUAGUUCAAAUUGUAAUCCUUACACAUGAUUUCCUUGACUAUAAUAGUGAUUGUCAUUUCAUUA
Molecule: non-coding RNA, 1460 nt
Organism: Nicotiana tabacum (common tobacco)
Lineage: Eukaryota; Viridiplantae; Streptophyta; Magnoliopsida; Solanales; Solanaceae
Source: RefSeq, a predicted model, not a curated record